This 635-nucleotide ribosomal RNA is filed under the name uncultured bacterium. RNAcentral describes it as "bacterial SSU rRNA". The stretch from base 1 to 539 matches the Rfam family "Bacterial small subunit ribosomal RNA", at positions 338 to 873 of the family's 1533-position model. The record is from RNAcentral.
CCUACGGGAGGCAGCAGUAAGGAAUAUUGGUCAAUGGUGGCAACACUGAACCAGCCAUGCCGCGUGCAGGAUGAAGGUUCUAUGAAUUGUAAACUGCUUUUAUACGGGAAAAAACUUUCGAACGUGUUCGGAACUGAUGGUACCGUAAGAAUAAGGAUCGGCUAACUUCGUGCCAGCAGCCGCGGUAAGACGAAGGAUCCAAGCGUUAUCCGGAUUUAUUGGGUUUAAAGGGUGCGUAGGUGGACUUGUAAGUCAGUGGUGAAAGCCCGAUGCUUAACAUCGGAACUGCCAUUGAUACUGCAAGUCUUGAAUAUGUUUGAAGUGGGCGGAAUGUGUCGUGUAGCGGUGAAAUGCUUAGAUAUGACACAGAACACCGAUUGCGAAGGCAGCUCACUAAACCAUUAUUGACACUGAGGCACGAAAGCGUGGGGAGCAAACAGGAUUAGAUACCCUGGUAGUCCACGCCCUAAACGUUGAAUACUCGAUAUGUGCGAUACACUAGUACGUGUCCAACGAAGAAAUACGUUAAGUUAAUUACCUACCGUCGGGUAGGUACGCGUCGCGAGAGUAGAAACGUACGAAGUAGUAGUACGACGNGAGAGACGACGACGACGACGACGACGGGAGGGAGGAGG